RNAcentral lists this ribosomal RNA (406 nucleotides) under uncultured bacterium. RNAcentral's name for it is "partial 16S ribosomal RNA". It matches the Rfam family "Bacterial small subunit ribosomal RNA", at positions 28 to 525 of the family's 1533-position model. The record is from RNAcentral.
GACGAACGCUGGCGGCGUGCCUAAUACAUGCAAGUAGGACGCAGUUGCGAACGGGUGAGUAACGCGUAGGUAACUGCCUAUUAGAGGGGGAUAACUAUUGGAAACGAUAGCUAAUACCGCAUACUAGUAGAUGGACCUACGUUGUAUUAGCUAGUAGGUAGGGUAAUGGCCUACCUAGGCAACGAUACAUAGCCGACCUUAGAGGGUGAUCGGCCACACUGGAACUGAGACACGGCCCAGACUCCUACGGGAGGCAGCAGUAGGGAAACUUCGGCAAUGGGGGAAAGCCUGACCGAGCAAGGCCGCGUGAGUGAAGAAGGUUUUCGGAUCGUAAAGCUCUGUUGUUGAGGAAGCGGUACUUAGCCAGAAAGGGUCGGCUAACAACGUGCCAGCAGCCGCGGGAAUA